UCAAUAAAUAUUUACUGAAGAGUUCACAUGGAAAUUUCAGUUAAAGAGUAAGCAAUAGGGAAAUAUAGACAGGGCUCCAAAAAGGAAAACAGAUUUGGGAUGGUAAAGUUCCCUAAGGUAUUAAAGAUGAACAAGAAGCAUUAAACCUUUAGGAAUGUUCCUCCCCAGUGGGCAGAGAAGUGUAGGAGACUCAGAAGUCUAAAAGAUAGAAGAGAUAGAGUGGUUCCUGAAGGUAGGAAAAAGUUUCAGUGAGGGAUGGGUCAAUGGAGGGGCUAAGUGUUAUCUCUUAGUCCAGAAAAAUCAGAACAAGAAAAAGACCAUUGGAUUUGGAAAAGUCAUUUGCGACCACUGAAUAAAAGAGUAAAAAUGUAGGGCUUAAGGAGAGAAAGGACAUAGCAGGUAUAUAUAGGUCAUUACUGGAGCAGUUUGGCAGUAAAGGGAAUGAAUACUCUAGCAGGAUUGAGUGAGUUUCUUUUUGCGAGACGUGUGAGAACUCAGGCUUUUCUUAAUCUGAAGUUAAUGGACCCCUCGGGGGGCCACGAGUCACCUUCAGGGACUCUGCAAAUUCAGAAAUUAUUUUCAAAAUUGUGUGUGUGCAGGGUGGGUGGAAGGUGGAGGGGAAGGAGAAGAGGAUUUGUAGCUUAUUUUCCAAAAGGUCGAGACGCAAAAGUUAAUAACCACUGCUGAAUAGGAAGAGAAUAGAUGAGUUAAAAAAAAAAAGUUAAAAAACAGAACCCCGAAAAACCAGAGGCCCAGAAACCGCUAAGCUUUAGAGAAAAAAAGGAAAACCCCUUCCCUAUUUACGGAAAACCUAUAAACAGAUGGAAAAGUUCACAAUUGCAUCAUCAUCUCAGUAAAAUAGGCAGUAAAGAGAGAGCUGGAAACAGUGGGGAGGCUUGUGCAAACACGCUCCAGGGACGGGAAACUGAAGAAGCGAGGCAGACGGAGUAGGGAAAGCGCCUGUGUUCCUCAACCGAGCCUGCAGCCCUAGUGAAGCUCCUGUGCAACGUCACGGCCCAGGAGGUGGUGCUCAAGGCUGGGAAUUGCUGGCAUUGUUCUUUAACCAGUGCGCGCCCCUCUCAGACUCCACCGACCUGUCCAGGAGGGAGAGGGGUCUUAUCACAAAAGGCAGUUAUCACCAGGCGGUAGGUUCAUCAUUGCGUCACUCAGCGACAAGCUGUACGUCCGAACUUCCCCAUAUACUUUUCCUGCUGUGCUUGGGCAGCUGCCUCCAGUCUGGCUUCUCCAC
Long non-coding RNA from Equus asinus (donkey), 1249 nucleotides. The record is from Ensembl. Lineage: Eukaryota; Metazoa; Chordata; Mammalia; Perissodactyla; Equidae.